Molecule: long non-coding RNA, 1615 nt
Filed under: Linum usitatissimum (flax)
Lineage: Eukaryota; Viridiplantae; Streptophyta; Magnoliopsida; Malpighiales; Linaceae
Description: long non-coding RNA (LUSI_LNC006618)
Source: RNAcentral
AGAGUAAUUGAAAGCUUCUAUCACCUUAUGGAUAAUAAAAACAUUAUAUCGAAUUACCCUCCUUAAAUGUCAUGAUUAAGAUAGCUCUUCUUAAGUUACGUUCUUACUCCUAUCUCUAACCUAUGUCGAAAUGAUUCAUCUUCCUGUAACUUCACAUUUAAAAUGAGAAGUGAUUUCUUCGAAUGGCGCCAAGCAUCAACCCAGAUUCUUCGGCUAUUUCAGUUUCUCAACCUAAUCUUUAUCCUCGUCUUUAGGCUCUUAAAGGUGGUCCAAUUCUAGUGCUUAUCUCAUUUUUUCCUCCAUUGGACCUUUACCGCUUGAUUUCCAGGUGGGUUGGUUUAAGGGGGUAAAUUCUUGUUGUGUAUUUAAAUUACGUUAUGCAAUGAUUUAUGAUUAUUGCACUUCUCAUGAAUCAUGAUUAUCCUAAUAGUUAAAUAAGAUUAAGAUUCAUAUGAUCAAAUAAUACACUCAUCCCUAGAUAGACCAUCGCCCCCCAUUAUGAUUUACGGGCCGAGUUUUGCCCUCUAUGAUUUAUGAUACUGUCUGAUGGAUACAUAAUCCCAGACCUCUAUGAUUCAAGCACUAGGGUGGUGCGCUAGUUAGCAGAGUUAGGGGGGCCAUAGAUAAGAACAUGAUUACAAGUACAUAUGACUUCUACUGAAUAGAUACUAAGACUCGCGAUAUACUUAAGGCCUAUAAAUAAUAUUCCAUGAUUAUGAAUAACUCUUAAUUAACUUGUGAUAAUGAAACCUUAAGAUUACGAUAAUAAACACGCAAGACUGACCCCGAGCCACCCACCAGGUCACGCUGGAGGAGCUAGAGAUCAACCACCCUCAGGAGAGUGCGAUCGUUGCCCAUCAUGUCGCUGGACUCAGAGUGAGUGACAAGCUUAAGAGGUCGAGUAUUUGCAGUUUAUGGAGUUAGACUCGAGACUAUUUCUUUCAGACUUUUAUUGUUGGAUUUUAUCGUUGAGCACCCACUUGUUAGGAUUUUAUUUCAUCUUUGACUAUUAUGAGUUUUGUUAGCAAUUUUGGAUCGAUUCUAUCAAUUUUGUUUUGGAGCCAUUUAAUAUUCCCGAGCAUUUUGGUCAUUUAAUAAAUGCUAGGAGUUUAGGGCUUAACAUGCUAUGUUGAAACAAUAUAUGAAACUUUGAACGUAUUAAUAUGGUACUAUACUUGUACAAUAUUUUACUAACUAUAAAUGAGAACAAAUCUGAUACCCACUACUUGUAUUUGCGAGAGAAGAAGAGCUAAUAUUUAUACAUAACUACAACCAUAUAUAAUAAUAUGUCAUGGCUAAUCAUAUAGUUCUUUCCAAAUAUGCAUACAUAAUUGCAAUAAUAUAUUUAAUACAUGUAUUAGCUAGUCAAAUCAACAUUUUUUCCUCAUUACAAGAAAGACCAAGGGCAAUAACGAUAAUGUUGGACAGUUGUUUGCAAACCCCAGAGUUCUGAUAAAUACAUGAUUUCAAUAUAACUUAUUUGGGAAAAAAGUGGGUCCAAGGGAAAUUUAUGUUUAUAAAACAUUAACUCAUUAAGACUAAUCAAACAAAAUUUUUAUCACUUUUACAAAAACUCAAACCAAAUUUCUUUCUUAACAAACAAAACAUUAGUAAU